RNAcentral lists this unclassified non-coding RNA (165 nucleotides) under uncultured Mortierellales. RNAcentral's name for it is "sequence contains ITS1". The record is from RNAcentral. Lineage: Eukaryota; Fungi; Mortierellomycota; Mortierellomycetes; Mortierellales.
UAAUAAAGUGUUUUAUGGCACUUUUUAAAAAAAUCCAUAUCCACCUUGUGUGCAAUGUUUUAUAAUGUUUAUAGACUUUUUUUCUAUAACUUUAUAAUUUACAUCAACUCAUUUUUUAAACUAAUUUGUCUGAAAAAAAAUAUUAUGAAUACUUAAUUCAAAAUA